GGGUGUGAAGAUAAGGGUGGGGAGAAGGAAGCUAGAAGAGGAAGUGAGAGCAGUGACAAAGGCAGAGAAGAGGCCACCUUUUCUGUUCUGCUUUUUUCACAAGAUGCUCAAUAGUAAAAAGAAUCCCAGUCUCAAUGAGAGAAAACUAUAAAUAGGACCAAAUAAAGUGACAUGCUAGCUCACAGAGGUUCUGCUUCACACCUGCUGCUCUUCAGAUACCAUCUCCCUUACGUAACGUAGUUGUGACAAGCAGCCUUGCCACUUCCCAGCACCAAAUACUACAGGAGUCAACACGGUGUUACUUGCUCCCAACAGAACUGAUCAUGCAGGUGCUCAAGGGAAGAGAAAAGGCAUUUUGAUGGGAUCUGAGAGCAUGGAUGAGUUGUUGCAUUUAUAUUAAAGUACUUCUAUUCUAUUCUGCAAAAAGCCUGAUUCUCACACCCAGUUAUGUCGGGUUAUGUGAGAUCAGAAUCAAGCUGACAUUCAGGGAAAUCCCAAGCCAGCAGCUAUGAAAAACUUUCCUCCAGAUUGUUUCCACCAGGGUUUAUAAAAUACAUGUGUUCUGGGGCCCCUUUGGGCUAUGAUGCGCAGUCUCCUCUCGCUUGAAACAAAGUAGUAGGGGGAUCUCAGCAUUUCCAUGGGGAAAUCAUAAUCGCAGCAGGCAAGGACUUGAGCACCCAAGUCUUUUAAGGAGCUAUCUGACUCAACCUGCACCCAGCUUUAUCUUGACAGCUAAGCUUCUUUCAUCUCUCUAUCAGGCCACCUGCUCACUGAGCAUCUUUGCCCUUGCUGUAAGGUGCUGCCACAUCUUACCACCAACAGCCCACAGCCUGACUUCUGCACUAGCCUUGGCACAACAGCCUGUGACAGUUCCAGAGAAGUUUUGUGACAGGAGCCUGGCUGACUGAUCAAUCCGUAGUCAUUCAAAAAUCGCUGCAGUGGGGACAGAAAAGAGGAUGGGCUAGUUUGAGCACCAUGGCACUAUUAAACGCUGGGAACCUGGAGGAUACGCUGCCAACAGUGGAGGUGGAAGUAGGUACUUCCCAGUGGGAGCAUUUGACCUUGUAACAGACAUCCUGAUGGAGCAAGAACAGUGGCAUAGAGCGUACAAAGCUGUAUGAAUUGGACUGUGUGGACCAGGGAUCUGGGCAGCAUCACUGUGAGCUGCUGCGAUCCAUCCUUACAGGUGAGUGAAGGGCUCCCUGUACUUGUGAGAUCUUCACAUCACAGCUGGAUGCCUUUCUGGGAGCGGGGCUUUAUUUGAACCCAAGUAAUUGGGCUCACUACCAGAAUAACCGAGUGAGAUGUAAUGGCCAGUGAGGUAGAGGAGGUCAGGCAAGAUGCUCUUACCUUAAAAUCUCUGAAAUCUGUUUUUGAGCUGGCUGUGAAGCCUCCCAGGCUGCUUCAGGAAGCAAGGCAUGGUUAGGACUGCCAAGCUCUUUGUUUUAUGAUUGUUAAAGCAAAUGUCAAAAUGGCUUGAAAAUGUGAAAAGAGGAGAGGAGUGGCCAGGGGGCUAGGAAAUGGAUUAAAGGUGUUUCCACUUGUCUUCUCUGUACCCAGACAGGCACCAACAGUUGGUGAUAAUUACGCUGGUGGUUUAAUAAGAACCAAACUUCUUUGGCAUGAAAGACUAUUAACACCCAAAUCCUAGAAGGAGAGGGGAGAGGUCAGGGGGCCUCACCUCCAUU
Long non-coding RNA from Alligator mississippiensis (American alligator), 1688 nucleotides. RefSeq lists it as uncharacterized. NCBI's taxonomy places the organism in Eukaryota, Metazoa, Chordata, Crocodylia, Alligatoridae. The transcript is spliced from 3 exons. The record is from RefSeq and is a predicted model, not a curated record.